This 494-nucleotide ribosomal RNA is filed under the name uncultured bacterium. RNAcentral's name for it is "partial 16S ribosomal RNA". It matches the Rfam family "Bacterial small subunit ribosomal RNA", at positions 28 to 507 of the family's 1533-position model. The record is from RNAcentral.
GACGAACGCUGGCGGCGUGCUUAACACAUGCAAGUCGAACGGAAAGGCCUGCUUUCCCUUGUGGAUUGCGGGUACUCGAGUGGCGAACGGGUGAGUAACACGUGAGUGAUCUGCCCCCAACUUGGGUAUAAGCCUGGGAAACUGGGUCUAAUUCCCGAUAGGACUGCAGGGUGGUGCCUGUGGUGGAAAACGAUUUUCUAGUGGUUGGGGAUGAGCUCGCGGCCUAUCAGCUUGUUGGUGGGGUAAUGGCCUACCAAGGCGGCGACGGGUAGCCGGCCUGGGAGGGUGGACGGCCACAUUGGGACUGGGGUACGGCCCAGACUCCUACGGGAGGCAGCAGUGGGGAAUAUUGCACAAUGGGCGGAAGCCUGAUGCAGCGACGCCGCGUGGGGGAUGACGGCCUUCGGGUUGUAAACUCCUUUCGACCGCGAGGAAGCCACCUGGUUGGAAGGGUGGUGACGGUAGUGGUAGAAGAAGCACCGGCUAACUACGUG